Molecule: non-coding RNA, 5308 nt
Organism: Labrus bergylta (ballan wrasse)
Lineage: Eukaryota; Metazoa; Chordata; Actinopteri; Labriformes; Labridae
Source: RefSeq, a predicted model, not a curated record
ACAGAGAGCAGCAGAGGGUUCAUCCUCCGGCGAACAGCUACUACCAUGGCGUCCACUGAGAUAGCGAGGCAAGCGGGUGAAGGUGCUCGUGCCGUCCCUCUUGCCGGCCACGUCGGCUUUGACAGCAUGCCUGACCAGCUGGUCAAUAAGUCUGUCAACCACGGAUUCUGCUUUAACAUCCUUUGUGUUGGCGAGACGGGUCUGGGGAAGUCCACCCUGAUGGACACACUGUUUAACACAAAGUUUGAGGGGGAGCCCACCCAGCACAACCAGCCGGGAGUCACGCUCAAGUCCAACACCUAUGAACUCCAGGAGAGUAACGUACGUCUCAAACUCACCGUCGUCAACACUGUGGGCUUCGGAGAUCAGAUCAACAAAGAAGACAGCUACAAGUCUAUCGUGGAGUUCAUCGACGCCCAGUUUGAAGCAUAUCUGCAGGAGGAGCUGAAGAUUAAACGCACGCUACACAGCUACCACGACACACGCAUCCAUGCAUGCCUCUAUUUCAUUGCACCGACAGGACACUCGCUCAAAUCCCUGGAUUUGGUGACCAUGAAGAAACUUGAUAGCAAGGUCAAUAUUAUUCCCAUCAUCGCCAAGUCGGACGCUAUUUCCAAGAGUGAGCUGGCCAAGUUCAAAAUCAAAAUCACCAGUGAGCUGGUCAGCAACGGAGUGCAGAUCUACCAGUUUCCCACUGACGACGAAUCUGUGGCAGAGAUCAACUCCACUAUGAACAGCCACUUGCCAUUUGCUGUAGUGGGGAGCACAGAGGAAGUGAAGAUUGGGAACAAGAUGGUAAAGGCCCGGCAGUACCCCUGGGGAACAGUUCAGGUGGAAAACGAGAACCAUUGUGAUUUCGUCAAACUGCGAGAAAUGCUGAUCAGAGUGAACAUGGAGGACCUGCGAGAGCAGACCCACACGCGUCACUACGAGCUCUACCGUCGUUGUAAACUUGAAGAAAUGGGCUUCAAGGAUACCGACCCUGACAGCAAACCUUUUAGUCUUCAGGAGACCUAUGAAGCCAAGAGGAACGAGUUCAUGGGUGAGUUGCAGAAGAAAGAAGAAGAGAUGAGGCAAAUGUUUGUCCAAAGAGUCAAAGAGAAGGAGGCCGAGCUCAAAGAAGCAGAGAAAGAGCUGCAUGAGAAGUUUGACCGUUUAAAGAAGCUUCACCAGGACGAGAAAAAGAAACUGGAGGAUAAGAGGAAGUCUCUGGACGACGAGCUGAACAUGUUUAAACAGAAAAAGACUGCUGCAGAGCUCUUGCAGAACCAGGCCCAGCAGGCAGGGGGCUCCACCACACUCAAGCGGGACAAAGAGAGGAAAAACUGAUGUGACGCCGUGCCUGUUAGAAAAAGGAAGAAGACACUUGCACUGAGAAGGUUCUUGUUGCUUUAUUUUUUCUUUCCUGUUAAUGCCCUUCCUUCACAGCCACUUUCUCUUUUCAUGAGCUCUGCCCGGAUCAUUUCUCUUCCAAAAGGAGCAUCAGAGCAACAUCUUUAGCUUUGUCUGUGGGUCACUGAUUAAAACUGACUAAAGCAGUCGCACACUCAGUGUGAACACAGAUGAAUAAGUGUCAGGUUGUAUUAAAUCCUUUGCUUGUUUAUUUAUCUGUUUAUUUACCAAGGAUCCUCAAUAGUUAUUACCAAGGAAAAAAUGAUUUUUCCUGGGUUCAAUAGCAGAGAAACCAGGGUUGAGUCAGUGUUUUCUUCAGUUCCCAGACGACACAGCUAUUGAUACCUGCUUCUUGUGUGUACGAUGUGAAUCUGUCCUGUGAAUGCAUGUGUCACCUAUGUUGCAUCCAUAAUGUUUUCCAGUUAACUCCUACACCCACACUUGCUGCAUGCUGCAUGAGGCACCUUUUCGGCUUAAGGUUCCUGUAGACAAAAAAGUGCUCCCUUGUGGCCAUCCUGCUGUGAAUGAGUUUCAACCCCAACAUCCUUUUUUACAGUACCCCUUCCCCCACCCUCGCCCUCACCCACCCCCUCAUAAUUCAACCUUCCACAUGCCCUCCACCCUGCUCUCUGGAAGACGCUGGGUUAGCAGUGUGCCUUUUUUCUUUUUUUGCCCAAUAAUGCUUGUCUAUUUAAUGUUUUGUACAAGCAAUUAUUCAGCCUUUUCAUUUUUUUAAAGACAUGUCCUUAAAAUGCAUUCCAUAUUUGUUUGAUAUUCAGUGAUUCUUUGCAUGAUAGAGUGAGUCUUUUUUAAUAUUAACAUACAUGACCACUGUUCUGAUUUGUAGAAAUGUACUGAGGGUUUAGUGAAACAUGCAUCAGACACUGGGCCAGUGUUUUUGUAAGUGUGGCCAAAGAUCUGCAGUAGACUAAAAUAGGAAAGAAUUAAGACAGAGGACUGCUUUAAAAAAGUAAAGUCAGUGAGGCAUUAAUAUGAUCCAGGUCCAGAUUAAAAUGUUUUUAAUGAAAUUAUUAACUCUCAAUUUUAUAAGCUAGUAACAGCAGUUUCUUUAAAAGGUGAUUGAACCAACAAUUACCAACAUUCUUGUUCUUCAGCUUUUCAAAACACACAGCGUGCACUGCUUCUCCCUGCAAUAUCUCCAAUUGGAACUUAAUCAUUUAAUAUAUAUGAUACUUAUCAGUGUCUUUUAAUACAUCUAAUACAUUUUAUGUCUGUGACCGCCUCAAAACUAAACACCCAGCUGGUUAACAGUUGAACCUUCUUAAAGUGAAGCAGUAAGAGUUCAACAAGCACAAGUAGAAGAGGCAGUCAGUCCUCACUGUGAUACAGUAAUAGAGAUAGUAGAAGUAACAUAACAGUUUCGUUGAUAGUCAUUUCUUGAUCCUAUAAGUCCGUCCGUAAACAUUUUUUUAAUAUUGACAAAUGAUAACAGAAUCUAAAUAAACUUGGACUGAACUAUACAUGUAAUAUCCAAAUAAGAAUUUGAUUCCACGAAAGUCCUCAGGAAUAGAUCAGCUUCCACCCAUUACCCUGGCAGCCAUGAUUACUUUAAAGUAUUCAUGUCCCUGUGUUGAUGGUGUUUCACUUUAACCUGUUGCAUGUGUGGUUGUGAGCCUAAUCUCUUUACCAUUUCUCCCACAUCUCAUUUACUGUCAUGUGUUAUGUCCAUUCUUAGCUUUCACAUUUUUUACAUAAACAAAUGUGAUGUUUCUAAUUGAGUAUAUAAAGUAAUGUUGUCAGUGCAAUUGUAACUUUCUUUUUUUCUUUUACUUAUAAUGAAGGCACAUUUGAAAGUCAGUCACCAGGAUGUCUAAUGUCCUGCAGGGACCAUGUUGUUUGUAUCAUUGUUAUUGCAUCAAAUAACAUAAUCUCAAGGAAAAAUAAAGGCCAAUUUUUCACCAAAUAUUUCAACUGUGGCCGUACUCAUUAUAUACAACAACUUCUGCUGUGAAGAGGGAGAUUAGAGGAAAGAUUCAUACUUGAAAAAAUGGGGAAAUUGGUUAUGCUUAAUUUGCAUGAUGUUGCCUGUCAGUUAACGGUUGUUAAUUGAACAAAUAUUGAUGCCAGUAAGUGUAAGAGACUGUAAUCCAGAGUCUCUUCACAGCUUUGGUUGCUUCUUGGUUCUUUCAAUUCUUCAGGUAUUUUCAUUCACUUGUCUUCAGAAUCACAGGGCAUCUUUUGACUCCAGUUUUCCCUCUUUUUCUUUUUUCUUUCCCACUAAAUCAAGGUUAAAGGUUGCUUUCAUUGCCUCUAUGUAAGAGAAAAUUGUCUUUGCAAUAAAGACAUUAAACACUUAAAUUCAUGAUACCAGGGGUCAAAGUACAUUACAAAAGCCCUUCCCUCUUCUUUUAUCCCGCGCUCACUGGUAUGUGUGGUUUCACUUUCCUUUGCAGUAAUCCCUGGCUCUGCACUGAGUAGGUCCUCAGCCCUCAAGCUUUGCUAAGGGACCAGCCCUUUGUGGGUACUGAGUACCUCAAAUGUGACCAGAGGCUUUCUGGACCCCAUCCUUCAGGGUUUCUUAAUCAUUACCUGCUUUGCUAUAAUAUUGCUCCAUGUGUAACUGUGUUUUGCUGCAGCUCUAACCUCACCCUCAGCCAUAUUAAGUCCUGCUGUGCUGCCUCUGCUUAUGUUUAUACUUUAUGUGCACUGUGUGUUGUUAUUGUGACUAACAGUAUUUCCACUUGAGUUUACUGAAGAUUAGAUGAGCACUUGUUUUUUUUAAGUUAUAUUUGUGUGGUGUUAAGUUUCACAAGACAAUCAUGUGCACCUGUAACAAGUAAUUUCAGCACCAUCACUCGACCUUAAUCCAUGAUUUGUUAUGCUAUUAUUAAAACAGGGUUUGUACCACCUCACUUUUUCUACCUGAUACCAGAUGCACUUCUAAAUAUCGAGCUUGACUUUUUUGAAAGAGUUCCUGCUUUGCCUCUUCCUCUCUAACUGCUGGCUUUCUCUCUCUUUGUCUCUUUAGCUUCUUUUAAUCUGUCUCAACCACCUGAAGAGGGGAUUGCAGCUUCGGCAAGAACUAAGCACCCUUUACCUCUUCCUGUUUUAUCUCGCUGUUUUGAACCCUUUUUUAUCCUCCCUAUGGCAUCCCCAUUUCUUCUCAUUAUUUUUUUUAAUAUGGCCUUACGUGGACUCGCAUGGUAUUUCUGAACCACCCCUUAUGAAGCUCCAACCCAGGCAGGGUGGGAACCGGGCACAGUUUGAAUCUGCUUUAAUGUCUUAAUGUACAUAAGGAGACUCGUUUAGUUAAAAGUCAUCAGUUAGACAUCUUUAAGACUCAUUUUGGAAACCAUUACCUUAUCUUUGCUUGAAGCAAAAUAGCAACGAUCUGCACUAUGCACUCAUCUUUUCAAAAAUAUACUUCAAUUUUAGUCAAACACUCAAACAUCAAGGUUUGCUGAUUAAAAAAUCAUCAAGGACUGAAGCACUUAAUGUAGGAUGUGUUAUCAAGGUUCAACAAAAGUCGUGUUUUUUUUCUUAUUUAGUUCAGCUUGAGAUAAAAAUCUGAAAAAUUAAAUUGGUCAUUAUCACCGAAAAGCCAAAGCAAUAUUUUCUAUAUAGCACUUCAUUUGAUGGUGCCCAUGUUUACAUGUCACUGUUGAAUACCAUGGAGGUCACAUGUGAUGGCCUUUUACUACACAUUGUGCUUUAAGAUUCACCUGCCUACUCUAUAUUUUGCAUGCAUCUUAUUGUUUUAUUACCACUGUGAUCUCAGACCUGCCUGUUUUUAUACCCUUAAAACUCUGGUUUGCAGUCUAUUUCAACUUCAUUGCUGUUUCUUCAAAUGGUGCAUAUAGUUAAUAAUGUAUAUUUGCUCUGUCCUAUUAUUUCAGCUCCCUUUUCUGCCAAAUAAGUACAAGGUGGCGUUGAUCUGAAUCCCAGAAAUGAGUUU